GAUGAACGCUGGCGGCGUGCCUAAUACAUGCAAGUCGAGCGAACAGACGAGGAGCUUGCUCCUCUGACGUUAGCGGCGGACGGGUGAGUAACACGUGGAUAACCUACCUAUAAGACUGGGAUAACUUCGGGAAACCGGAGCUAAUACCGGAUAAUAUAUUGAACCGCAUGGUUCAAUAGUGAAAGACGGUUUUGCUGUCACUUAUAGAUGGAUCCGCGCCGCAUUAGCUAGUUGGUAAGGUAACGGCUUACCAAGGCAACGAUGCGUAGCCGACCUGAGAGGGUGAUCGGCCACACUGGAACUGAGACACGGUCCAGACUCCUACGGGAGGCAGCAGUAGGGAAUCUUCCGCAAUGGGCGAAAGCCUGACGGAGCAACGCCGCGUGAGUGAUGAAGGUCUUCGGAUCGUAAAACUCUGUUAUUAGGGAAGAACAAAUGUGUAAGUAACUAUGCACGUCUUGACGGUACCUAAUCAGACAGCCACGGCUAACUACGUG
This 497-nucleotide ribosomal RNA is filed under the name uncultured bacterium. RNAcentral describes it as "partial 16S ribosomal RNA". It matches the Rfam family "Bacterial small subunit ribosomal RNA", at positions 28 to 507 of the family's 1533-position model. The record is from RNAcentral.